CUUCUUUACACAUGAAGAUUGCAAACGUGCCUUUGGAUACCCUUGUCUUUUCCCUGCUUUUUGAUGUGUGUGACAGUAAAGAGAUUUGAGUUGUCACAGUGAAUACAGGUUACUCAUGCAGAUCCCUACAGACAUCAGGCUCCCUUGAAGAGAGAUGAGGGAUGCCAAGUGGGCUAUGGACAGAACCUCUUGCAGAUGUCAGGGACCAGAACACAACAGGAAAAUAUGCAAGUGUUCAGAUAGGAUGCACUGAACUCUGGGGUCAGGACUGUUUCCUUGGUAAUCAUUCCAACAUCCAGAGAGGAGUGAGAUUCCAGCAACACUGUGGACAGAACAUCUUGCAAAUAGCAGGCACAGGUAUCCCCUAGGAAUGUGGACAUACGAUAGUGGCAAUGGACCAUAAACAAUAGAACAUGUAGAGAUUGUGCAAGUGGACAUGGAAAAGUGGACACAUAAUUGGUAGAAUAUCUGGGGCAUCGUCUGCAGUGAGAGGUCCAGAAUUCAUGAUUAUCCAUGAGAGGCCAUCUUGCUGAACACUGCCAUGUUCCA
Fukomys damarensis (Damara mole-rat) is the source of this 549-nucleotide long non-coding RNA. RefSeq lists it as uncharacterized. Lineage: Eukaryota; Metazoa; Chordata; Mammalia; Rodentia; Bathyergidae. The transcript has 6 exons. The record is from RefSeq and is a predicted model, not a curated record.